ACGUAUGGUGCAAGCGUUAUCCGGAAUCAUUGGGCGUAAAGCGCGCGUAGGCGGCUUGUUAAGCAGGAAUUUAAAUCUUAGGGCUCAACCUUAAGUUGGUUCCUGAACUGGCAGGCUCGAGUGCGGUAGAGGAAGGUGGAAUUCCCAGUGUAGCGGUGAAAUGCGCAGAUAUUGGGAAGAACACCGAUGGCGAAGGCAGCCUUCUGGGCCGCCACUGACGCUGAGGCGCGAAAGCUAGGGGAGCGAACAG
RNAcentral lists this ribosomal RNA (250 nucleotides) under uncultured bacterium. RNAcentral's name for it is "partial 16S ribosomal RNA". It matches the Rfam family "Bacterial small subunit ribosomal RNA", at positions 525 to 775 of the family's 1533-position model. The record is from RNAcentral.